Long non-coding RNA from Megalopta genalis, 1148 nucleotides. RefSeq lists it as uncharacterized. NCBI's taxonomy places the organism in Eukaryota, Metazoa, Arthropoda, Insecta, Hymenoptera, Halictidae. The record is from RefSeq and is a predicted model, not a curated record.
UUACGCCUAUGCAGUAUCGCAACCGCGACUGCGUGGCGUUGAUCACCUGAUUGUUGUAUUCAAUCGUACCAACCUAGUUUGAAAUACUAGCAAUUCCAUAAACGCUACUAGCAGUAGCUUCUAAUUGUAAGAAUUAUACGACCACGCAUUAGCUACUAUAAAUUUUACACCAAUUCCUCCAAGAUAAAGCUGUUUGAGUACUCGCAAAACACGAGUCGGGUAUUACUCGGCUCGAACGAUCGAUCCGAGCCGAGACUCGAAAGAAUCGCGUAGCUCAAAAGAAAUCGGGCGGCUUGAAAUGUAAGUGAGCGGCUCGAAUGUAAGCGAGCAAUUCGGACGCAUUUCAAGUAGUUUGCUACAGUUGAACAUGCUGAGUGAUCCGAAUAAACUGUUCUUCGUGUACAGUAAACAUAUUACUCUAUACAUAUUACAGUAAUAAUAUACAAUAUUUUUCGAGUAUUACGACAGCCUUACCCCAAAAGGCACAAUGUGGCGGUUUUAAGAUGUAAGUAGUAAGUAGUUCUAAAGGAAUUACAAUAUGUUAAAUAAUCGUGGAAUAUGGAGGAAAAGAAAAGGAAGCGAGCCCCACCUUAGACGCGAGGACGUUGAAAGGACGGGCGAAAACAGUAUACAUAUAUAUAUAUAAACUGAAACAGAUUGGCUACUUGCGGGAAAGGAGAAUCCACCUGACGUCGAAUGCCGGAGCCAAUCCCCCACAGUUGGCAACCCUUACUGGAAGGUAUCCAUUUGGUGUCGAGCGCAGAAGACAGGAGCGCCACAAUAAUCAAUUUUUAAUGCAUCCAUAACUAUACACACAUGUCGAUAUUAUCGACUGCUACAAUUUCAGAUAUCGGAUCGAUGUAGGGGAUCAUUAUGAACAUUUGGAAACCAAGAAAGUUAAAUUCGAUCUAAUUAGAUCUAUUAAAUAGAUCUAACCUAAUCUACCUAAAGAGGCUUCGAUCUAUAGAUCUAUUUGAUCUAUUACAUUUUUUCAACGACCCUGCAUUGUGCAAAUGCGGCAGAUUUAGUUCAGGCGUUUGUCGCCGCGUGGUGACAGCGUUUUCAUUAGACGUACUAUUUAAAAAAGAAAAAACAUAAAUAUAUAAGUAAUUAUGGCAAUUUAAUAUUAAAUAUAAAUAUGAAAUAUU